ACAUACGCGUAGAGUUUGAUCAUGGCUCAGAGCGAACGCUGGCGGCAGGCCUAACACAUGCAAGUCGAACGGCUCUUCGGAGCAGUGGCGGACGGGUGAGUAACACGUGGGAACGUGCCUUUUGGUUCGGAACAACACAGGGAAACUUGUGCUAAUACCGGAUGAGCCCUAUGGGGGAAAGAUUUAUCGCCGAAAGAGCGGCCCGCGUUAGAUUAGCUAGUUGGUGGGGUAAUGGCCCACCAAGGCUACGAUCUAUAGCUGGUCUGAGAGGAUGAUCAGCCACACUGGGACUGAGACACGGCCCAGACUCCUACGGGAGGCAGCAGUGGGGAAUCUUGCGCAAUGGGCGAAAGCCUGACGCAGCCAUGCCGCGUGAAUGAUGAAGGUCUUAGGAUUGUAAAAUUCUUUUAGCAGGGACGAUAAUGACGGUACCUGCAGAAAAAGCCCCGCUAACUUCGUGCCAGCAGCCGCGGUAAU
Molecule: ribosomal RNA, 477 nt
Filed under: uncultured Asticcacaulis sp.
Lineage: Bacteria; Pseudomonadati; Pseudomonadota; Alphaproteobacteria; Caulobacterales; Caulobacteraceae
Description: bacterial SSU rRNA
Rfam family: Bacterial small subunit ribosomal RNA
Source: RNAcentral